RNAcentral lists this microRNA (24 nucleotides) under Gallus gallus (chicken). RNAcentral describes it as "gga-miR-6553-5p". Lineage: Eukaryota; Metazoa; Chordata; Aves; Galliformes; Phasianidae. The record is from miRBase by way of RNAcentral.
AGCAGCCCUGUGAUAGCUGUUUGC